GGCAGCAUAGUUCAGCGGUAGAACAACGGAUUCAUAAUCCGCAUGUCGUAGGUUCGAACCCUACUGUUGUCA
This 72-nucleotide transfer RNA is filed under the name Histiona aroides. Its description in RNAcentral is "tRNA-Met". It matches the Rfam family "tRNA". From Rfam's summary of the family: Transfer RNA (tRNA) molecules are approximately 80 nucleotides in length. The record is from RNAcentral. Lineage: Eukaryota; Jakobea; Jakobida; Histionidae.